GACGAACGCUGGCGGCGUGCUUAACACAUGCAAGUCGAACGGACAGGCCCUGAUUUUGCGCCGUGCUCGAGUGGCGCGCGGGGGAGUGACACGCGUGUAACCUCCCCCUAACUUUGGGAUAACUUCAGGAAACUCGGGCUAAUACCGCGUAGGAGAUCCUGCAGCAUGGUGGGGGUUGGAGAGUGUCGGCUGUUGUGGAUGGACUCGCGGGUUAUCAGCUUCUUGGUGGGGUAGUGGCUUACCAGGGCUUUGACGGGUAGCCGGCCUUGGCGGGUGGCCGGCGACAUUGGGCCUGCGAGAGGGACCAGAAGCGUACGGGCCGCAGCAGGGGGGAGUAUUGCACAAUGGGCGGAAGCCUGAUGCAGCAACGCCGCGUGCGGGAUGACGGGCUACUGGUUGUAAACAGCUUUGUCCUGUGCUGAAGCGGGCGUGACGGUAAUUGGUAAGAAAGCACCGGCUAACUACGUG
Molecule: ribosomal RNA, 468 nt
Filed under: uncultured bacterium
Lineage: Bacteria
Description: partial 16S ribosomal RNA
Rfam family: Bacterial small subunit ribosomal RNA
Source: RNAcentral